This 653-nucleotide ribosomal RNA is filed under the name uncultured bacterium. RNAcentral describes it as "bacterial SSU rRNA". The stretch from base 1 to 548 matches the Rfam family "Bacterial small subunit ribosomal RNA", at positions 338 to 873 of the family's 1533-position model. The record is from RNAcentral.
CCUACGGGAGGCAGCAGUAGGGAAUCUUCCGCAAUGGACGAAAGUCUGACGGAGCAACGCCGCGUGAGUGAAGAAGGUUUUCGGAUCGUAAAACUCUGUUGUCAGAGAAGAACAAGUCGGAGAGUAACUGCUCCGGCCUUGACGGUAUCUGACCAGAAAGCCACGGCUAACUACGUGCCAGCAGCCGCGGUAAUACGUAGGUGGCAAGCGUUGUCCGGAUUUAUUGGGCGUAAAGCGAGCGCAGGCGGUUCCUUAAGUCUGAUGUGAAAGCCCACGGCUCAACCGUGGAAGGUCAUUGGAAACUGGGGAACUUGAGUGCAGAAGAGGAGAGUGGAAUUCCAUGUGUAGCGGUGAAAUGCGUAGAUAUAUGGAGGAACACCAGUGGCGAAGGCGACUCUCUGGUCUGUAACUGACGCUGAGGCUCGAAAGCGUGGGGAGCAAACAGGAUUAGAUACCCUGGUAGUCCACGCCGUAAACGAUGAGUGCUAAGUGUUGGAGGGUUUUCCACCCUUCAGUUGCUGCAGCUACGACAUUAAGACACCUCCGCCGUCGGGGAGGGUACCGGGCCCGGCCGACGGCGUAGAAACGUACGAAAGUAGUAGUUAGGACGGCGUUGAGACGCGACCGACGGACGACGACGGAGGGAGGUUAGG